AAGUCGUAACAAGGUCUCCGUAGGUGAACCUGCGGAGGGAUCAUUACAGAGUUCAUGCCCUUACGGGUAGAUCUCCCACCCUGUGUUAUUAUUACUUUGUUGCUUUGGCGGGCCGUCAGGCUCACGCCCGGCUACCGGCCCCGGCUGGUAAGCGCCCGCCAGAGGUUCAAUCAAUUCUAUUAUUAGUGAAGUCUGAGUAAAUAUCAAAUAAUCAAAACUUUCAACAACGGAUCUCUUGGUUCUG
This 244-nucleotide unclassified non-coding RNA is filed under the name Leptodontidium sp. RNAcentral describes it as "partial contains small subunit ribosomal RNA, internal transcribed spacer 1, and 5.8S ribosomal RNA". The stretch from base 1 to 46 matches the Rfam family "Eukaryotic small subunit ribosomal RNA", at positions 1786 to 1831 of the family's 1831-position model. Lineage: Eukaryota; Fungi; Ascomycota; Leotiomycetes; Helotiales; Leptodontidiaceae. The record is from RNAcentral.